CCUACGGGUGGCAGCAGUGGGGGAUAUUGCACAAUGGGGGGAACCCUGAUGCAGCGACGCCGCGUGGGUGAAGAAGCGCCUCGGCGCGUAAAGCCCUGUCAGCAGGGAAGAAAAUGACGGUACCUGAAGAAGAAGGCACGGACAACUACGGGCCAGUAGCCGCGUGAAUACGUUGGGGGCAAGCGUGAGCCGGAUUUACUGGGGGUAAAGGGGGCGGAGACGGGGAGGCAAGCCAGGAGUGAAAGCCCGGGGCCCACCCCCGGGACUGCUCUUGGUACUGCGUGGCUGGAGUGCAGGAGGGGCAGGCUGAAUUCCUGGUGUAGCGGUGAAAUGCGUAGAUAUCAGGAGGAACCCCGGUGGCGAAGGCGGCCUGCUGGACUGCAACUGACGUUGAGGCCCGAAAGCGUGGGGAGCAAACAGGAUUAGAUACCCGGGUAGUC
This 440-nucleotide ribosomal RNA is filed under the name uncultured bacterium. Its description in RNAcentral is "partial 16S ribosomal RNA". It matches the Rfam family "Bacterial small subunit ribosomal RNA", at positions 338 to 795 of the family's 1533-position model. The record is from RNAcentral.